UACGAAGGGGGCUAGCGUUGCUCGGAAUCACUGGGCGUAAAGGGUGCGUAGGCGGGUCUUUAAGUCAGGGGUGAAAUCCUGGAGCUCAACUCCAGAACUGCCUUUGAUACUGAGGAUCUUGAGUCCGGGAGAGGUGAGUGGAACUGCGAGUGUAGAGGUGAAAUUCGUAGAUAUUCGCAAGAACACCAGUGGCGAAGGCGGCUCACUGGCCCGGUACUGACGCUGAGGCACGAAAGCGUGGGGAUCAAACAGG
This 253-nucleotide ribosomal RNA is filed under the name uncultured bacterium. RNAcentral describes it as "partial 16S ribosomal RNA". It matches the Rfam family "Bacterial small subunit ribosomal RNA", at positions 524 to 776 of the family's 1533-position model. The record is from RNAcentral.